GGUGGUAUAGCUCAGUAGUAGAGCACAUACUUGGUGUGCAUGAGGUCCUGAGUUCAAUAACAGUGCCUCCA
This 71-nucleotide transfer RNA is filed under the name Camelus bactrianus (Bactrian camel). It matches the Rfam family "tRNA". From Rfam's summary of the family: Transfer RNA (tRNA) molecules are approximately 80 nucleotides in length. The record is from Rfam by way of RNAcentral. RNAcentral also lists the same sequence under 2 other names. Lineage: Eukaryota; Metazoa; Chordata; Mammalia; Artiodactyla; Camelidae.